CCUACGGGUGGCAGCAGUGAGGAAUAUUGGUCAAUGGCCGGAACGCUGAACCAGCCAUGCCGCGUGAAGGUCAGUGUCCUAUGGGCGUUAAACUUCUUUCGUGAGGGAGCAAUAAUGGUCACGUGUGGCCAGACGAGCGUACCGUACGAAUAAGCAUCGGCUAACUCCGUGCCAGCAGCCGCGGUAAUACGGGGGAUGCAAGCGUUAUCCGGAGUUAGUGGGUUUAAAGGGUGCGUAGGCUGUGAGGUAAGUCAGCGGGGGAAUGCCCCCGCUCAACGGGGUGAAGUGACAUUGAUACUGCGUGGCUGGAGUGCGGAUGCCGUGGGAGGAAUGUGUGGUGUAGCGGUGAAAUGCAUAGAUAUCA
RNAcentral lists this ribosomal RNA (364 nucleotides) under uncultured bacterium. RNAcentral's name for it is "partial 16S ribosomal RNA". It matches the Rfam family "Bacterial small subunit ribosomal RNA", at positions 338 to 699 of the family's 1533-position model. The record is from RNAcentral.